GACGAACGCUGGCGGCGUGCUUAACACAUGCAAGUCGAACGAAGAGCGAUGGAAGCUUGCUUCUAUCAAUCUUAGUGGCGAACGGGUGAGUAACGCGUAAUCAACCUGCCCUUCAGAGGGGGACAACAGUUGGAAACGACUGCUAAUACCGCAUACGAUCUGACCUCGGCAUCGAGGAUAGAUGAAAGGUGGCCUCUACAUGUAAGCUAUCACUGAAGGAGGGGAUUGCGUCUGAUUAGCUAGUUGGAGGGGUAACGGCCCACCAAGGCGAUGAUCAGUAGCCGGUCUGAGGGGAUGAACGGCCACAUUGGGACUGAGACACGGCCCAGACUCCUACGGGAGGCAGCAGUGGGGAAUCUUCCGCAAUGGACGAAAGUCUGACGGAGCAACGCCGCGUGAGUGAUGACGGCCUUCGGGUUGUAAAGCUCUGUUAAUCGGGACGAAAGGCCUUUUUGCGAAUAGUGAGAAGGAUUGACGGUACCGGAAUAGAAAGCCACGGCUAACUACGUG
This 510-nucleotide ribosomal RNA is filed under the name uncultured bacterium. RNAcentral's name for it is "partial 16S ribosomal RNA". It matches the Rfam family "Bacterial small subunit ribosomal RNA", at positions 28 to 507 of the family's 1533-position model. The record is from RNAcentral.